This 858-nucleotide ribosomal RNA is filed under the name uncultured bacterium. RNAcentral's name for it is "bacterial SSU rRNA". It matches the Rfam family "Bacterial small subunit ribosomal RNA", at positions 9 to 894 of the family's 1533-position model. The record is from RNAcentral.
GAGUUUGAUCAUGGCUCAGGAUGAACGCUGACAGAAUGCUUAACACAUGCAAGUCUACUUGAUCCUUCGGGUGAAGGUGGCGGACGGGUGAGUAACGCGUAAAGAACUUGCCUUACAGACUGGGACAACAUUUGGAAACGAAUGCUAAUACCGGAUAUUAUGAUUGGGUCGCAUGAUCUGGUUAUGAAAGCUAUAUGCGCUGUGAGAGAGCUUUGCGUCCCAUUAGUUAGUUGGUGAGGUAACGGCUCACCAAGACGAUGAUGGGUAGCCGGCCUGAGAGGGUGAACGGCCACAAGGGGACUGAGACACGGCCCUUACUCCUACGGGAGGCAGCAGUGGGGAAUAUUGGACAAUGGACCAAAAGUCUGAUCCAGCAAUUCUGUGUGCACGAUGAAGUUUUUCGGAAUGUAAAGUGCUUUCAGUUGGGAAGAAGUCAGUGACGGUACCAACAGAAGAAGCGACGGCUAAAUACGUGCCAGCAGCCGCGGUAAUACGUAUGUCGCAAGCGUUAUCCGGAUUUAUUGGGCGUAAAGCGCGUCUAGGCGGCUUAGUAAGUCUGAUGUGAAAAUGCGGGGCUCAACCCCGUAUUGCGUUGGAAACUGCUAAACUAGAGUACUGGAGAGGUAGGCGGAACUACAAGUGUAGAGGUGAAAUUCGUAGAUAUUUGUAGGAAUGCCGAUGGGGAAGCCAGCCUACUGGACAGAUACUGACGCUAAAGCGCGAAAGCGUGGGUAGCAAACAGGAUUAGAUACCCUGGUAGUCCACGCCGUGAACGAUGAUUACUAGGUGUUGGGGGUCGAACCUCAGCGCCCAAGCUAACGCGAUAAGUAAUCCGCCUGGGGAGUACGUACGCAAGUA